RNAcentral lists this ribosomal RNA (468 nucleotides) under uncultured bacterium. RNAcentral describes it as "partial 16S ribosomal RNA". It matches the Rfam family "Bacterial small subunit ribosomal RNA", at positions 28 to 507 of the family's 1533-position model. The record is from RNAcentral.
GACGAACGCUGGCGGCGUGCUUAACACAUGCAAGUCGAACGGAAAGGCCCUGCUUUUGUGGGGUGCUCGAGUGGCGAACGUGUGAGUAACACGUGAGUAACCUUCCCUUUACUUUUUGAUAACUUCAGGAAACUGGGGCUAAUACCUGAUAGGAGCUCCUGCUGCAUGGUGGGGGUUGGAAAGUUUCGGCGGUUGGGGAUGGACUCGCGGCUUAUCAGCUUGUUGGUGGGGUAGUGGCUUACCAAGGCUUUGACGGGUAGCCGGCCUGAGAGGGUGACCGGCAACAAUGGGACUGAGAGACGGACCAGACUCCUACGGGAGGCAGCAGUGGGGAAUAUGGAACAAUGGGCGGAAGCCUGAUGAAGCAACGCCGCGUGAGGGAAGAAGGCCUUCGGGGUGUAAACCGCUGUAGCCUGUGACGAAGCGUGAGUGACGGUAAUGGGUAAAGAAGCACCGGCUAACUACGUG